RNAcentral lists this transfer RNA (75 nucleotides) under Candidatus Abzuiibacterium crystallinum. RNAcentral describes it as "Candidatus Omnitrophica bacterium CG11_big_fil_rev_8_21_14_0_20_45_26 tRNA-Glu". It matches the Rfam family "tRNA". Rfam says of the family: Transfer RNA (tRNA) molecules are approximately 80 nucleotides in length. Their secondary structure includes four short double-helical elements and three loops (D, anti-codon, and T loops). The record is from RNAcentral. RNAcentral also lists the same sequence under 1 other name. Lineage: Bacteria; Pseudomonadati; Candidatus Omnitrophota.
GUCCCCAUCGUCUAGCCUGGCCUAGGACAACAGCCUUUCGAGCUGUUGACGGGGGUUCGAAUCCCCCUGGGGACG